This 154-nucleotide small RNA is filed under the name Desulfotomaculum sp. Its description in RNAcentral is "c-di-AMP sequence". It matches the Rfam family "c-di-AMP riboswitch aptamer (ydaO/yuaA leader)". Rfam says of the family: This family represents a conserved RNA structure found upstream of the ydaO and yuaA genes in Bacillus subtilis and related genes in other bacteria. The ydaO/yuaA element is thought to act as a genetic "off" switch for the ydaO and yuaA genes in its native state. RNAcentral also lists the same sequence under 1 other name. The record is from RNAcentral. Lineage: Bacteria; Bacillati; Bacillota; Clostridia; Eubacteriales; Desulfotomaculaceae.
CCAAUAUAUCGGCCGAAUCCUCCACCGGGAGGUACGGGGGAAUUCAAUCGAUGCGGGGUGAAUCCACGCCUGGCGGGAGGUGAAACAAACAGGCGCGGUAGGGUGCCCUCGCCCGAAUCCGUCAACUAACUCCGGAGGCCGGAGGAGGGAAAAA